RNAcentral lists this ribosomal RNA (511 nucleotides) under Nebrioporus lanceolatus. Its description in RNAcentral is "partial 16S ribosomal RNA". The stretch from base 387 to 511 matches the Rfam family "Bacterial large subunit ribosomal RNA", at positions 2473 to 2597 of the family's 2925-position model. The record is from RNAcentral. Lineage: Eukaryota; Metazoa; Arthropoda; Insecta; Coleoptera; Dytiscidae.
GUCCUUUAGAUUUAAUUAUUUAAGGUCUAACCUGCCCACUGAAUUAUUUUAAAUGGCCGCAGUAAAUUGACUGUGCAAAGGUAGCAUAAUCAUUAGUUUUUUAAUUAAAAGCUUGUAUGAAUGGUUUGACGAAAUAAAAUCUGUCUCUAAAUAAUAAUAAGAAUUUAAUUUUUAAGUUAAAAAGCUUAAAUUUAAUUAAAAGACGAGAAGACCCUAUAGAUCUUUAUAUUAAAUUUAUUAAUUAUAUUUAUGAUUAUUUACUUAUUUAUUAAUUUUAAUAUUAUAUUGGGGUAAUAGGAAGAUUAAAAUAAUUCUUUUUAGUAUUAUACAUUGAUUAUUGUUUAUUUGAUCCUUUAUUAAAGAUAAUAAGAUUAAGUUACCUUAGGGAUAACAGCGUAAUUUUUUUAGAGAGUUCAUAUCGAUAAAAAAGUUUGCGACCUCGAUGUUGGAUUAAAAAUUAUUCCAGGUGAAGAAGUUUGGAAAUUUUGGUCUGUUCGACCAUUAAAUUUUU